CGGCGCUGCGCGUGCGCACUAGCCCUGGUGUGCCUGGCGCUGCUGUUGCUGCUGCUGGAGCCCCGGGGUGCCCUGGGGGAGGAGCUGCAACCGCAGGAGACCCCCGGGCCCAGGGCGGCCCACUGGAUGUCCAACCUCGGCCACUUCAACAAGUACCUAGAGAAGCUCUUCAACAGCAGACGUGUUCCCCAGCUUGAAGUCUAAGGACACCAAGAAAUCUAAACACCCCAAGAAAUCCGCGAACACCACGAAAACCCCACCAGCAAACACCGUGAACCCCCCCCAACAGACCAUCGGGAAACCCCAACCGCCGCCCUCCUCCCAGGGCCCCAGGUAGGAGAGCCUGGGCAGGCUGGCACCCAUCCGGAGCCACAGAACCGGGGCCGGUUGAGCUGGAAUGAGAGGAAGCCCUGGGGGGUGGGGGGGGAAUACCAGGGCCCCAGGGACUUCCUUCUCCAGGCAAGGCCCUGGCCUCAGAUGCCUGACUCAAGUCUCCUGGCCCAGCGACCCCCUCUGUAUUCUGAGAGGAGCCUUAACUCCUACCUGCCCGCUUCCCUCACCCUCCCGGAGAACAAUAAAGAGAAAUACCUCUACUGCUUGGUGGGGCGUCACGGGUGCGGAGCCCGUGGUUUCUCGUGGCUGCUCCUUCUAGCAUGCUUCAUGGCGAACAGCUGGCUGGCCGGGGCAAGUCCGCCCCUGAGAAGCUCCCGUUUCCUGAGCGUUUACUGGGUCAAGAGGCUACGCUCAGGGUUUCUUUUCUUUUUUCUUUUUAAAAGUAAUUGCAUUUAUUUGGCUAAAAUUCAGAUUCCCAACAAAUCGAUUCUAGAGCGUAUUGGUGCAUGUAGACAUCAUCAUAGUACCGCCACGGGUUUACUUGCUGGAAGAGGCAUUUUCACUCCCUCCGGCUGCAAACACCUGGGUUGUUUUGGGUUUAAAAAGAAAAAGGUUUGGGGCGCCUGGGUGGCACAGCGGUUAAGCAUCUGCCUUCGGCUCAGGGCGUGAUCCCGGCAUUAUGGGAUCGAGCCCCACAUCAGGCUCCUCUAUGAGCCUGCUUCUUCCUCUCCCACUCCCCCUGCUUGUGUCCCCUCUCUCGCUGGCUGUCUCUAUCUCUGUCUAAUUAAA
This 1122-nucleotide long non-coding RNA is filed under the name Ursus americanus (American black bear). RNAcentral's name for it is "lncRNA (ENSUAMG00000006299.1)". The record is from RNAcentral. Lineage: Eukaryota; Metazoa; Chordata; Mammalia; Carnivora; Ursidae.